RNAcentral lists this signal recognition particle RNA (89 nucleotides) under Pseudomonas massiliensis. RNAcentral's name for it is "Bacterial small signal recognition particle RNA". It matches the Rfam family "Bacterial small signal recognition particle RNA". Rfam says of the family: The signal recognition particle (SRP) is a universally conserved ribonucleoprotein involved in the co-translational targeting of proteins to membranes. Archaeal SRP consists of a 7S RNA and homologues of the eukaryotic SRP19 and SRP54 proteins. In most bacteria, the SRP consists of a 4.5S RNA and the Ffh protein (a homologue of the eukaryotic SRP54 protein). Lineage: Bacteria; Pseudomonadati; Pseudomonadota; Gammaproteobacteria; Pseudomonadales; Pseudomonadaceae. The record is from RNAcentral.
CGGUCCCCUCGCAAUGAUUACCCGUCAACCUGGUCAGAUCCGGAAGGAAGCAGCCAUAGCGGGAACAUCGUGUGCCGGGGUGUGGCUGG